RNAcentral lists this ribosomal RNA (499 nucleotides) under uncultured Glomeromycotina. RNAcentral's name for it is "partial small subunit ribosomal RNA". It matches the Rfam family "Eukaryotic small subunit ribosomal RNA", at positions 591 to 1092 of the family's 1831-position model. The record is from RNAcentral. Lineage: Eukaryota; Fungi; Glomeromycota.
CCAAUAGCGUAUAUUAAAGUUGCUGCCGUUAAAAAGCUCGUAGUUGAAUUUCGGGACCAAUAUGUCGGUCGUGCCUCGGUACGUACUGGCAUUAUUGGUUUCUCCCUUCUGAAGAACCUUGAUGUCAUUAAUUUGGUGUCUUGGGGAAUCAGGACUGUUACUUUGAAAAAAUUAGAGUGUUUAAAGCAGGCUCGCGCUUGAAUACAUUAGCAUGGAAUAAUGAAAUAGGACGUUUGAUUCUAUUUUGUUGGUUUCUAGGAUCGACGUAAUGAUUAAUAGGGAUAGUUGGGGGCAUUAGUAUUCAAUUGUCAGAGGUGAAAUUCUUGGAUUUAUUGAAGACUAACUACUGCGAAAGCAUUUGCCAAGGAUGUUUUCAUUAAUCAAGAACGAAAGUUAGGGGAUCGAAGACGAUCAGAUACCGUCGUAGUCUUAACCAUAAACUAUGCCGACUAGGGAUCGGAUGAUGUUAAUUUUUUAAUGACUCAUUCGGCGCCUUACG